GGAGGAAAAGAAACCAACAGGGAUUGCCUUAGUAACGGCGAGUGAAGCGGCAAUAGCUCAAAUUUGAAAUCUGGCUCUUUCAGAGUCCGAGUUGUAAUUUGUAGAGGAUGUUUCGGACAAAGCUUAGGUCUAAGUUCCUUGGAACAGGACGUCAUAGAGGGUGAGAAUCCCGUCUAGGGCUUUAUGCUGCGUCUAUGUGAAACUCCUUCGACGAGUCGAGUUGUUUGGGAAUGCAGCUCAAAAUGGGAGGUAAAUUUCUUCUAAAGCUAAAUAUUGGCCAGAGACCGAUAGCGCACAAGUAGAGUGAUCGAAAGAUGAAAAGCACUUUGAAAAGAGAGUUAAACAGUAUGUGAAAUUGUUGAAAGGGAAGCGCUUGCAACCAGACUUGUUUCUAACGGUUCAACCACUGUUCUCAGUGGCCCAUUCCGUUAGUUCAGGCCAGCAUCAGUUUGGGUGGUUAGUUAAAGGCCUUGGGAAUGUAUCUACAGCUUCGGUUGUAGACUUAUAGCCCUCGGUGUAAUGUGACCUACCUAGACUGAGGAACGCGCAUCUGCUCGGAUGCUGGCGUAAUGGUUGUAAGCGAC
This 584-nucleotide ribosomal RNA is filed under the name Celerioriella prunicola. RNAcentral describes it as "eukaryotic LSU rRNA". It matches the Rfam family "Eukaryotic large subunit ribosomal RNA", at positions 52 to 648 of the family's 3401-position model. Lineage: Eukaryota; Fungi; Ascomycota; Eurotiomycetes; Phaeomoniellales; Phaeomoniellaceae. The record is from RNAcentral.